Molecule: ribosomal RNA, 482 nt
Filed under: uncultured bacterium
Lineage: Bacteria
Description: partial 16S ribosomal RNA
Rfam family: Bacterial small subunit ribosomal RNA
Source: RNAcentral
AUUGAACGCUGGCGGCAUGCUUUACACAUGCAAGUCGAACGGUAACAGCACUUCGGUGGCUGACGAGUGGCGAACGGGUGAGUAAUACAUAGGAACGUGCCUAGUAGUGGGGGAUAACUACUCGAAAGAGUAGCUAAUACCGCAUGAGAUCUAAGGAUGAAAGCAGGGGACCUUCGGGCCUUGCGCUACUAGAGCGGCUGAUGGCAGAUUAGGUAGUUGGUGGGAUAAAAGCUUACCAAGCCGACGAUCUGUAGCUGGUCUGAGAGGACGACCAGCCACACUGGGACUGGGACACGGCCCAGACUCCUACGGGAGGCAGCAGUGGGGAAUGUUGGACAAUGGGCGCAAGCCUGAUCCAGCAAUGCCGCGUGCAGGAUGAAGGCCUUCGGGUUGUAAACUGCUUUUGUACGGAACGAAAAGCCCUCUUCUAAUACAGGAGGGUCAUGACGGUACCGUAAGAAUAAGCACCGGCUAACUACGUG